CGUUGGCUGCUGUGUUUGACAUCGCACACAGCUCCUCCUACUUUCAGUUCCGUUGUCUGACAAAUUCGCUUUCAAAACACUAAAGGAAACAAAAUAAUAUAUAUUUAUCUAGCCAAAUUAUUAAUUAGAAACAUAAAAGGGAUCGGAGUUUUCAUAUUUCUUUUUUAUUCGAUUUAUUUGUAUUUAUCUGGACGUCGUAUUUUUUGGCCGACAGGAAGUGAAAUCAUCACACGUUUCGUGCUGACUUUCAGUUGGGAAGGUGCACAGAGAGACGGAGCAAGCAUGUUCGCACUAGUAAAGUGGGUAAAUGGCGAUGAUGACGGUAAAUUGAGUGUAAUUCCUACUGAGUGGAUUAAAGGAUUUAAUAUAGAGGAUUUUGAAGAAGAAGGCGACGAAGAUGAGCGCCAUUAUGUCGCAGAGUGGAGAAGAGGGAGUAAACGACCACGUGAAGGAUGGCAAGCUUUCGAUUGUGAAGUGGAGAAAGUGGGAGAAAGACAGUUGGAACUUGUUCAAAUGCAUGAUGCAAUGACAAGAGCAGAAGAGACUCCAGCUUUGAAAAGAAAGAAAUUUCAAAAUAGCAGAUAUGCUGAUGACUCCAGCAGUGACACCAAAGACACUCAAGUGUGCCAGGUUACAGUCUUCUACGCCUGAGGGAAUCUGCCAUUAAUACUGGGUUUUAAUUUGCAAUUAGGCCCUAGGUAGGAAGCAGUAUCUGUCACAGAAGGCUACAAGUGGACGCUGUUGAUGCUAUCCCUGUGAUAUUGGACAAAAUUGAGGAGCUAGGAAAGAGGGACAACUCUGGUCCUACUGACCACUCUAUUGACAGUGAGGCAAAUUGUCUUUGUGGAAGUCCACGGUAUGCUGCGUCGUCUGCAGGAUCAACUGUGUCCAUAUCCUCAAUUCCUCAAUCACAAGGAAAUGGAAGACAACUUGACAAGGUGGAAAUUCAUCCAGGAAGUGGAGUGUAUAUAGACCAGCUGGCUUGGACAAUAACAAAUAAGGCUACUUCCUACACUUCAUUUGUGAGAAAUGCUAUGCUCUCUGUGUUUGACAUUGAAACUUUAGUAAAAAGUAAUUUACGUGGUGGAAGUGGCAAACGACAGAAACAUGGGGAAAGAAGAGAGGCCUUGGAUCCCAACAAAGUGAAUGCCAUAUACGCUGCAACUCUGAUGAAAUUUCCACUUGCCACCAAAUCACAGCUUGGUUCUGUAAUUAAUGGGAAAAUAGCUGAACUUAGGUAUGGAAUAAAGAAACGCACACAAAAAUACACAAGGCUUUAAUGAUACUAACUGAUACUGGUACUGGGCUUAGAAGUCAUAAACUGUGCGGUAGUUCUAGUUCUGUUUUAGGUUGCCCCUGUAUUUUAUUUAGAUGUUUAAUUUCGAAAACAAAUGAAACAUCCCUUAUUAAAGUUUUCCCUGUUGACUUUAUUGUAAUGUUUUUGCACUUUUACCAUUGAUUUACCUUACUUUUACCAUGGUUUCCUACGGUUUUCAAUUAUUUUAAGAUAUCUUCAAAUAUUUCAAUAUGUCUGUUUGGCGAGCUACAGGGCCAAACUGCCAGUUAGAGAUACAUUCAAAUAUUUGAAGGUAUCUCUAAAUGAUGAUUCGGCUUGCCGUAAGAAAUAGUGUUAAUUUACAGUAGUGUUAUUGUAUCUAUAGUGAUAAUGUACAUGUGUAUAUCCGAGAAAUAUUAGGGGAUGAAAGUAAUGUUUUUUUUUUUUAAGUAAUUCAGUGAAACUCCAACUCUGUUUAUAACAAGAUUGCAAACAAGAUUUUGCAGUCGCUCAGAUGAGGGCUCAAACUGAUAACUGUUCAAUAAAGUUUUAUAAAUUUAUAAAAUGGGUGCAUUUUAUUUAUCGUACUACUGUAGCAGUCCACAAAACUUUGCAAACUGUUAUUGCAUGUGAAGUGAUCAAUUUGUAUUACUCUUUUCCUGCAUCACACGUUUACAUAUGUAAAUUCACAUUUUUCCAUAUAUGAGUAAAU
This is a long non-coding RNA of Acipenser ruthenus (sterlet), 1988 nucleotides long. RefSeq lists it as uncharacterized. The record is from RefSeq and is a predicted model, not a curated record. Lineage: Eukaryota; Metazoa; Chordata; Actinopteri; Acipenseriformes; Acipenseridae. The transcript has 6 exons.